RNAcentral lists this ribosomal RNA (497 nucleotides) under uncultured bacterium. RNAcentral describes it as "partial 16S ribosomal RNA". It matches the Rfam family "Bacterial small subunit ribosomal RNA", at positions 28 to 507 of the family's 1533-position model. The record is from RNAcentral.
GAUGAACGCUGGCGGCGUGCCUAAUACAUGCAAGUCGAGCGAACAGAUGAGGAGCUUGCUCCUCUGACGUUAGCGGCGGACGGGUGAGUAACACGUGGAUAACCUACCUAUAAGACUGGGAUAACUUCGGGAAACCGGAGCUAAUACCGGAUAAUAUAUUGAACCGCAUGGUUCAAUAGUGAAAGACGGUUUUGCUGUCACUUAUAGAUGGAUCCGCGCCGCAUUAGCUAGUUGGUAAGGUAACGGCUUACCAAGGCAACGAUGCGUAGCCGACCUGAGAGGGUGAUCGGCCACACUGGAACUGAGACACGGUCCAGACUCCUACGGGAGGCAGCAGUAGGGAAUCUUCCGCAAUGGGCGAAAGCCUGACGGAGCAACGCCGCGUGAGUGAUGAAGGUCUUCGGAUCGUAAAACUCUGUUAUUAGGGAAGAACAAAAGUGUAAGUAACUAUGCACGUCUUGACGGUACCUAAUCAGAAAGCCACGGCUAACUACGUG